AACGCACAUUGCGCCCGCCAGUAUUCUGGCGGGCAUGCCUGUCUGAGCGUCAUUUCAACCCUCCGCGUCGGUUCCCUCCAGGGGGUCCCGGGGCGGGUGUUGGGGAUCGUCACAGCGCCCUAGCGGCGAUCGACGUCCCCUAAAUCCAGUGGCAGCCACGCGGCGGCCUCCCUCGCGCAGUAACCAAUCUCGCGGGCGGACCGUCGGCGUCGGAUCGCCGUAAAACCACCAACUUUCUUAUGGUUGACCUCAGAUCAGGUAGGAAUACCCGCUGAACUUAA
This 281-nucleotide unclassified non-coding RNA is filed under the name uncultured fungus. RNAcentral describes it as "partial contains 5.8S ribosomal RNA, internal transcribed spacer 2, and large subunit ribosomal RNA". The stretch from base 1 to 52 matches the Rfam family "5.8S ribosomal RNA", at positions 103 to 154 of the family's 154-position model. The record is from RNAcentral. Lineage: Eukaryota; Fungi.